GACACCGUGGCCGAGCGGCGAGGCGCGCGGGUGCAACCCGCGACACGGCGGUUCGAGUCCGCCCGGUGUCU
Molecule: transfer RNA, 71 nt
Filed under: Actinomycetota bacterium
Lineage: Bacteria; Bacillati; Actinomycetota
Description: Actinobacteria bacterium tRNA-Cys
Rfam family: tRNA
About the family: Transfer RNA (tRNA) molecules are approximately 80 nucleotides in length. Their secondary structure includes four short double-helical elements and three loops (D, anti-codon, and T loops).
Source: RNAcentral